This is a long non-coding RNA of Myotis brandtii (Brandt's bat), 1230 nucleotides long. RefSeq lists it as uncharacterized. Lineage: Eukaryota; Metazoa; Chordata; Mammalia; Chiroptera; Vespertilionidae. The record is from RefSeq and is a predicted model, not a curated record. The transcript has 3 exons.
ACGAAAAUAAUUUUAUGGUUGGGUCACAACAUGAGGAACUGUAUUUAAAGGGCCAGAAGGUUGAGAACUACUGUCUGAAGUUUUGUAUGUGCAAUCCUUUGGCAGGUUCCUAGGAGCAAGAAGUGAUGUCUACAUUCUGAGUGUGUAUACCAGGACGGAAACACUUCAAUGUAAACUCCUGAAAGGUGUUUGGGUCCCACCUCGUGUUAAGGGAACUGCCAUUUAGUGUUUAAACAAGGUCAGAGCAGUGGCUGGAAGUGAACACCUGGCAUUUGGAGGAAGGCUGCAUGUGUGGAAAAUGCUCAAACUUUAUCCUUCACCUUUAAAAAAGUAUAAGCUGUGCACACUUUCCUUUUUACAGCCCUUCCCUUGGUUUGAUGAUAGCCUUGCUUCCCAAUAGUCUUCUGGUUGAAGUGUUUUUUUCAUGAGUUAAUAUUUAAUUUGAUUUCUUUCGUUUCGUUUUUAAGUGAAGUUGGUUGACAUAGGAACCUGGAAGGAAACACUUGGGCACCUUUGCAUUACUGUCUCUUGGUCUUCAUUUCUCUUCUUGCAGAAUCUCAUAAAAGCCCUAGGAAAUAUUUGGAAGAAGCUUAAGCACUUGCUCAGAGCUACCCUCCUCUGCCCCACACUACUCUUCGAAGAAAGGAUCUGCUGCGAGACAGAGUGUCAACUGCUGUGAGGACCAGGGUGGGAUUCGCUUGGCACCAUCUGCAAACAGAGAGGCUUAGAUUUCAAGCUUCCUUGAGUGCUUGAAAUCGGGUACAUGGCUGCUUCCUUUAUCAUUGGAUUGUUGUCCUAAAUGCCAGCAAGAGAAAUAGAGGUAACACCAAAAUGUUCUGACUUCUUCCCAUUACUGCCAAGAGGUUCUUCUGCACCUACCUGGCUCAUUCUUGCUCAGGGCCUUUGAACCAGCUCCUCCUUAGCCUGGAGUGCUGUUCUUCCAUGGACCACCCCCCACCCCCCCAAUUAUCCUCUUAACGUUCCCUCAGAGAGACCUCUUGACUGCUUGCUCUAAAUCAGUCACAUCAGCCCUGGUCUUAUUUGACUGACUUCUCUAGGUGACAUUUACCACAAUCUUCUUGUUUAUCUGCUGGUUUGUUCCAUGUGAGAAGGUGAGCCUGUGAGGGAAGGGAAUGUGCCUUCCUCUCCUGCUGCACCUCCAAACAGGGUCUGUCGUGUAGUAAGGAGAUGUCCAUGGGAUGAACGGCCAAGUUGCUUUUCUCCUCCUGA